Non-coding RNA from Potamilus streckersoni, 74 nucleotides. NCBI's taxonomy places the organism in Eukaryota, Metazoa, Mollusca, Bivalvia, Unionida, Unionidae. The record is from the annotation of a GenBank genome assembly.
CGCUCAGAUGGCCUAGUGGUCAGAGCGUCCGCCUCCGAUGCGGGAGGUAAUGGGUUCGAUUCCCGGUCGAGUCA